AGUGAACGCUGGCGGUAGGCCUAACACAUGCAAGUCGAACGGCAGCACAGUAAGAGCUUGCUCUUACGGGUGGCGAGUGGCGGACGGGUGAGGAAUACAUCGGAAUCUACUUUUUCGUGGGGGAUAACGUAGGGAAACUUACGCUAAUACCGAAUACGACCUACGGGUGAAAGCAGGGGAUCUUCGGACCUUGCGCGAUUGAUUGAGCCGAUGUCGGAUUAGCUAGUUGGCGGGGUAAAGGCCCACCAAGGCGACGAUCCGUAGCUGGUCUGAGAGGAUGAUCAGCCACACUGGAACUGAGACACGGUCCAGACUCCUACGGGAGGCAGCAGUGGGGAAUAUUGGACAAUGGGCGCAAGCCUGAUCCAGCCAUACCGCGUGGGUGAAGAAGGCCUUCGGGUUGUAAAGCCCUUUUGUUGGGAAAGAAAAGCAGCAGGUUAAUACCCCGCUGUUCUGACGGUACCCAAAGAAUAAGCACCGGCUAACUUCGUG
RNAcentral lists this ribosomal RNA (492 nucleotides) under uncultured bacterium. RNAcentral describes it as "partial 16S ribosomal RNA". It matches the Rfam family "Bacterial small subunit ribosomal RNA", at positions 29 to 507 of the family's 1533-position model. The record is from RNAcentral.